RNAcentral lists this ribosomal RNA (460 nucleotides) under uncultured bacterium. RNAcentral's name for it is "bacterial SSU rRNA". It matches the Rfam family "Bacterial small subunit ribosomal RNA", at positions 340 to 786 of the family's 1533-position model. The record is from RNAcentral.
UACGGAAGGCAGCAGUGGGGAAUAUUGCACAAUGGGCGAAAGCCUGAUGCAGCUAUGCCGCGUGUAUGAAGAAGGCCUUAGGGUUGUAAAGUACUUUCAUCGGGGAGGAAAAACAAAACUAAUAAUUUUAUUUCUUGACGUUACCCGAAAAAGAAGCACCGGCUAACUCCGUGCCAGCAGCCGCGGUAAUACGGAGGGUGCUAGCGUUAAUCAGAAUUACUGGGCGUAAAGAGCACGUAGGUGGUUUUUUAAGUCAGAUGUGAAAUCCCUGGGCUUAACCUAGGAACUGCAUUUUGAAACUGAAAAUACUAGAGUAUCGUAGAGGGAGGUAGAAUUCUAGGUGUAGCGGUGAAAUGCGUAGAUAUCUGGAGGAAUACCUGUGGCGAAAAGCGGCCUCCUAAAACGAAUAACUGACACUGAGGUGCGAAAAGCGUGGGGAGCAAAACAGGGAUUAGAUACC